RNAcentral lists this ribosomal RNA (498 nucleotides) under uncultured bacterium. RNAcentral's name for it is "partial 16S ribosomal RNA". It matches the Rfam family "Bacterial small subunit ribosomal RNA", at positions 28 to 507 of the family's 1533-position model. The record is from RNAcentral.
GACGAACGCUGGCGGCGUGCCUAGUACAUGCAAGUCGAACGAGAGCGACCGGUGCUUGCACUGGUCAAUCUAGUGGCGAACGGGUGAGUAACACGUGGGUAACCUGCCCAUCAGAGGGGGAUAACAUCCGGAAACGGAUGCUAAAACCGCAUAGGUCUUCGAGCCGCAUGGCUUGAAGAGGAAAAGAGGCGCAAGCUUCUGCUGAUGGAUGGACCCGCGGUGCAUUAGCUAGUUGGUGAGGUAACGGCUCACCAAGGCCGUGAUGCAUAGCCGACCUGAGAGGGUGAUCGGCCACAUUGGGACUGAGACACGGCCCAAACUCCUACGGGAGGCAGCAGUAGGGAAUCUUCCGCAAUGGACGCAAGUCUGACGGAGCAACGCCGCGUGAGUGAAGAAGGUUUUCGGAUCGUAAAACUCUGUUGUUAGAGAAGAACAAGUGCUAGAGUAACUGUUAGCGCCUUGACGGUAUCUAACCAGAAAGCCACGGCUAACUACGUG